This 469-nucleotide ribosomal RNA is filed under the name uncultured ammonia-oxidizing bacterium. RNAcentral describes it as "bacterial SSU rRNA". It matches the Rfam family "Bacterial small subunit ribosomal RNA", at positions 26 to 490 of the family's 1533-position model. The record is from RNAcentral.
AGAUUGAACGCUGGCGGCAUGCUUUACACAUGCAAGUCGAACGGCAGCACGGGGGCAACCCUGGUGGCGAGUGGCGAACGGGUGGAUAAUGCAUCGGAACGUAUCUUCAAGUGGGGGAUAACGCACCGAAAGGUGUGCUAAUACCGCAUAAUCUCUACGGAGAAAAGCAGGGGAUCGCAAGACCUUGCGCUUUUGGAGCGGCCGAUGUCUGAUUAGCUAGUUGGUGAGGUAAAGGCUUACCAAGGCUUCGAUCAGUAGCUGGUCUGAGAGGACGACCAGCCACACUGGGACUGAGACACGGCCCAGACUCCUACGGGAGGCAGCAGUGGGGAAUUUUGGACAAUGGGGGAAACCCUGAUCCAGCCAUGCCGCGUGAGUGAAGAAGGCCUUCGGGUUGUAAAGCUCUUUCAGCCGGAACGAAACGGUCACGGCUAAUACCCGUGAUCACUGACGGUACCGGAAGAAGAAA